Long non-coding RNA from Phyllostomus discolor (pale spear-nosed bat), 276 nucleotides. RefSeq lists it as uncharacterized. The record is from RefSeq and is a predicted model, not a curated record. NCBI's taxonomy places the organism in Eukaryota, Metazoa, Chordata, Mammalia, Chiroptera, Phyllostomidae. The transcript has 3 exons.
CUCAGAAGACUCAACCCCCCUACAGCCCAGAUUUGGUGCCCUGCAACUUCUGUCUUUUCCCAAAACUAAAAUCACCUUUGAAAGGGAAGAGAUUUCAGACUGUUGAUGAGAUUCAGAAGAAUACGAUGGAGCAGCUAAUGGUGAUUGGGGGAACUUUGUGAGGUCCCAAGGUGCCUACUUUGAAGAGGACUGAGGUGUCAUUGUCUUAUGUACAAUGUUUAUUGUAUCUUUUUCAAUAAAUUUCUCUAUUUUUUAUAGCACAUUCAUUGCUGGAUA